GCCGGGCGUGGUGGCGGGCGCCUGUAAUCCCAGCUACUUGGGAGGCUGAGGCAGGAGAAUUGCUUGAACCCGGGAGGUGGAGGUUGCAGUGAGCUGAGAUCGCUGCACUCUAGCCUGGGUGACAGAGCAAGACUCGGUCUAAA
Molecule: non-coding RNA, 143 nt
Filed under: Gorilla gorilla gorilla (western lowland gorilla)
Lineage: Eukaryota; Metazoa; Chordata; Mammalia; Primates; Hominidae
Source: Rfam by way of RNAcentral